UGUCGCCUGGGGAAACCACCCGCGGGCCGCGCGCGCUGCCAGGCCCGGGGUUCCGGUGAGCGGCUGCUGGUAGACGCCCUGAACGGUUGCCUCCCAACGGACGCCAGUGGCGGGAGAGGGGUCCCUGAGGCUCCGGGCACCGAGGCCCCUGCGACUGCGACCGGGGCAGUGGCGAGUCCCCGGUCGCCCUUUCGACGCCGCGACGGGCUGCAGCGACAGUGGCUAUGGUUCGGGUUGGUUGCGACGGGCCCGGGUGGGCCUCGGGGCCCGGUGGCCGACCGGCCUUUGCCCGCCCCAGCCCCCUACAGCUGGAGGUGUGCGUCCCCCCCGUGGGGGAGAGGCGGAAGUGCGGGCGCGGGUUCGCAAAGUCGCCUCUCCUCGCCUUGACCGGUCCGCCCUCGCGGGGUCAGCGGCCGGAAGCCGGGCCGCCGCUCCCACCAACUCCGGCGGAGGGAGCUUCCGGAAUUCCCUCCCUGGCGGCGCCUGUUUGUGGCUUGGAGAGGGGAACGCUGACUCUGAAGCAGCCUCGAAGGGACUCCUGCUCAGGCCUGGAGUCUCGUUGCAGGUGUCAGUCUGUUGUUACCCAGCUUGGGGUCCCAGAAGCUUGACCUCACGAAUACCCGGGGUACUCAGUGGUUUAAUCAGCAAAGGGCCUUUGAAGGAUAUGCAGAAUGUGAAAGUACCACACUUCUGAAGGCAACGAUGUUUGGUUCCUUGCCCAAGGAUAGAAGCAGAUAUCAAGGGAGCCUGGGAGUGUUUGUGACCCCUCCAGCCAGCACUAAUGGUAAUGAGGUUAUGUACCAAGUAGAGAUGUAUGGAAAGCUAAAAGAGGACAUGCUAAGGAAGAGGACUCAAAAAAUGAUAAAGUGAUGUUUUGUACUCACUACAAGUCAACAAAGUAUGAAUUACACCGACAGGUAUGGUCAAAUAUUUGAUUUAAACUUCAUGUAAUACAGGUAACCCAGUAAUGGGGAAAUGCUGCAAAAACAACUUGCAGGAAGAUCUCUACUUCUCUUCAGGAGAUACUUGAAUACUUCCCAUUUCAAAAUUGAAGAUGACUUAGAUGCUACUUGCCAUACAGAAGAAAUUGAGGCUGUGAAAAUGUUAUCAGCUCCAUUUAUGAUUAAGUGACUGAGAAUAAAACCAGUGAACGGUAUAUAAAAGAACUUUGGUUUAAAGGUGACGACGUGGACAUUAUCAACUCACAUGAAGCACAAGGAGAUUCACAAAUGACUAGAAAAUUCCAUAACCCUCCAAACCAAUCCUUGUAAUCAUAGGACACCUAGGGGAGCAGGACAGUCAACAGGUACAUCCACAACUUUGGUGAAGUCUGUUGGCAGGGACUCUGACUUUCUUGAAAAAGUAGGAUGCUUUGAGGGCCUGUGAUUGGUUUUUCAAGUCAAAGGAUUAUAAGAAAAUAUUGUUUAUAACUAUGGAUGGGAUGAAAUCUUUAACCUAACUUAAGAGCAAUCACCAAAAUCCUCUCCAUACGUACUGGAUGACCUACAUGACUUUAUACAGCUCUCAAUAGGCACUCAUUGACAUGUGAAUUUGAUAUUCUCAUGGAGGCAAAAAUAAUCUGAGAGUAAGGUGGGAGUACUCAGAUUGCAUUGAAAGGUAUAAUAAUGCGGAAAUUUAAUAAUGCGGAAAUUCUGUAGGAUGUUUUCUUAAAGCUAAUUUUGACCAGGGACGAAAAUGUUGAGAGUGUUGGUAAUCUAGUAUAGCUUAUAGCCCUUAAUAAAAGGAUGUUAUAUUUGCUUUACUAUAGUACUUGUCCUCCAGACAAGUGAAAGAAUUUAACAACCUCAGCUACAUUAUGAUAAUCGGGAAUUUUCUACUCAAAAGAAUUGAGUGAGGAUGUACUUUUGAAGGGCCAAUUCAGUACUUAAGGCAUUGUCAACAAUGAGUAGAAAGGGGAGCACUGUUCUACUAGGAUCAGCUCUACUCCAAAACUGUGGUUAUGCCCUUUUUUUUUUUUAAUGAGUAUUACUUUCUAAAUUGAAAUGAUCCCACAAAACACUUGGUUUGAGGCUUGGUGAAGGGUGCCUUGUAGAUAAUGGAUGCAGAGGACAUUGGUUUGGAGUGUUUAGUGAAUGUGGCUUCUCAGGUCUCCCCAGCUGUUCCAAGGACAGGUGUUUAGGCUGGUGAUACUCAGGUUCUGCCUGCCCAGGAUGGAGAAGCUUUCCAAGCCUCUUAUAUCCCCAACUACAUUGUCCCAAAAUUCUAGUAUAUUACAUGGUUACAAAAAAAAAAGCAAGGAAUGAUCCUUGAUCAUUAAUGAUCCUUGCUAGGCUACCAACAUUAUCUUGCUACAUUGCCUACACUUGAUAUAAUAAUGAUUAGGCAUCUUACACAGUCAUAUUUUGGUGUUGUAAGAAAGAGGAAGUUGUGAAGGGCAUAUCAAUUCAGGUCUGCAAUGGUCAGAGGUAUAGUGGGAGUUAAGCAAAGCACUCUGGUCAGUUCUUACCACAUAAAUGGGAAGGUAUGUCUGGGUGUUGAAGGUGUUUGUGACCACUCUCAUGGUACUUAUGGGCCUAACAAAACUCAACUGCAUAUGUUUUUUCCAUGGUCUCAGUAGUUUGCCACACCUGGCUGUGGGAACCGUUUGGUUGUUCAGAUACCUGUCUGGAACAUCACAAGGCCUAGACAGCCACUGACUAGUUGCCAGGGUCAGAAACUCUGCUGUUAUAAUUGUUUCCUCACAGAGCAAUCAUGAGGGCUUGUGUAAUAGGAUGUGUUGGUGCUAUGAAUCAAAAAUGGCAAGUAUUAACUUGUAUAACAGUGUAACAAAAGUAUUUUGUAUAAAUAUAAGAAACCUGAGUAGGAACUUAAAAGUGCAAUCUGCACUGAUUAAUUUAAUUUGGUGCCUCUCAACCUUUUUUUUUUUUUUUCAUAGUUCCUCUUCCCACAAAGAGAUUUUCUAUAUUUUCUCUUAAAGUGUUCACAGAUUUAAGGCCAGUUGAUGAAUAUUGCUUUUCCCCCAUAGGUGAGGAUAAAUGGAAAGAGUAGGAUGGAUCUUACUGUUACUACAGGCAGUACUAGGUAUUUUAUUUUCAGGUUGUAUUUGGAGAGAAGCAAGCAUCUUUGCCUCUUUGGAGUAGGAAGUUCAGACUGGUAAAAGGUAGCUCUUCUCCCUUUUUUUAAUUUAGGGGAAAAAUUAAAGUAACUUUUUACAUUGGGCACUUUUUCUUGUUAAAAGUUUAAGGUGAUUGUUGUUUAUUUUUGCAGGUAUUCUUACAAAGAACUAAGAUUAUAAGCAGUGUCAUAUCUCUGGGUUUUAAACAACUUUUAAACAGGGUUUUCAGAAACCUAGACUACACCUUAGACUAAUCCUUGAGUUUUAAAGCUAUUUAAUUUUGUGAGCUAAUUACAUUAGGAACUAAAGUGAAGUAGGUAAUGUCUUGGAACUUUGCCACCUUUUACACUUUCUACUUUGGGAGUUGAUUAUAAAUGAGGGUGGUGGGAUGAAGGUGGAUAGAAUUAGUGCAGUGGCAUUGGACUUACAUAAUUGAAUGGAAAAAGGACAACCAUUGAUCUCAUCAUGCAUUAAAAUAUAAACCUGUAAUUUAAUUAUUACACUGUGUAACCACCACUGAGAUCAAGAAAGAGAAGAUUGCCAGCCUUCCACAUGUUGCUUCCAAAUUACAACCCUUCUCCCCACAGGUAACCACUAUUCUGACCUUAGAGUAAUUCCUUUUUUUAUAGCAGUGUUCCUCAUCUGGCAUGAGCAUCAUCUGGGAACUUGUUAGAAAUGCAAAUUCUUGGGCCCUUCCCAAGACCUAACACAGUUAUACAUUUUUGUGUGGGGGAUGAAUAUUUAUGUAGUUAAAGUCUACAGCAGUGAUUCUCAAGCUUUAGCGUGUAUGAGAAUGACCUGGAUGGCCUAUUAAAACAGAGGUGCUGGGGCCUACACCUAGAGUUUUUGAUGAUCUCUUUCUGGUUGUUUUAUUUACUGAUGCUAAUUUUCUUAUGUGCUGGGCAUGUUUGACUCUGUGCAAGUCAUUGCACUUGAAAUGUUAUUUUGCAGGAAUAACUGUGAGGCCUAUAAUACAACUACUUUGCUCCAAAGAGUAUUUGCAUUUGCUUCUGACAGGCACCUGGGGGCACUAUCAGUCUGGGAUCGCUUGUUCAAAGUUUGAUUUUUCCUGGACAACUCAAGGGAUUCUUACUUAUGUUUUAAUUCUCUUUAGAUUAUCCCAGUUCUUGUUCCCUUCACUCUGAGAUCCCGGAACCCAGAUUGUUGUAAGGGAAAGACUCCUGUCAGAUUCCCCAGCUUGUUUGGAUCCAGAGUUUGUCCCCUUCUGUACCCUGAAAGGCCAGGACAAUGGAGGGUUUGAGUUCCUGGGAUUAGCUAGUACUCUCAGGGAGAAAGUGGCUUCUGGCUUGUUCACCUCUCUAGAUUCUUGGCUUCUCUUUACUUUUGGCCUGAUAAUUCCUUACUAUUUUGUAAUCUCUUUGAUGCUUUUGAAAAGACUAUUUUAAAUAUAUUUUAUCCAGUUUUUUUAGUCGUUUUCAGUUAUAGGACUGAUGUGAACAACCUGAACCACCUUUACCAGAAGGGAAAUCUGGGAAAUAAAUUAUUAAUGCAUAGGAUUUUUUUCAAAAUACUGUGGUUUUUCAAAACAUUCAAAAUCUGUGGAUAUUAAUAUCCUUAAAAAACUUUUGUUUUUAGCUUACAACUUCUCCCAGACGUGGGACACACAAGAUGGUUUUAGUAUAAAAACUCUCCUUAUGAAAAGAUUCCCAGGGUUGCAUAUUUAUGACCUUUAACCACUCCAAAAGGCUCUGAUAUUUCUGGUGGGUUCCAAGGAAUGCUUACCACAACUUGAGAAACCCUGACAAAAUGCAGAGAUGUGCCUAGUACAGGACCCAUUUUGCAGUUUAUGGGUUUAUUUUUGCCUAGAGCUUUAACCAGUCUGGACACACCAAAUUUAGGAAGCAUAGAUGGCUUACACUUUUAUCCCUAAUGUUUCUGUCUAGGAUAACAUGUGGAAUGCCCCAAACUUUAUUUACUGUCAAGUUCUAAGCACUUGAUAGAUGAUAUUUUAACCACCUCCCUCUCUCCCCCAGAAGUACGUCAUAUCAUCUUCUUUUCCUGUUUGACGCCUAUGUCAUGUUGCUCCCUUGAGAUAGGCAAGAUUCUCAAAGAGAAAAUACCCCUUCCCAGUCCAUUGCUGACAAAUCAGAGUACAUUCCUUCCGGAUAGGAAUGAUUCUGUUACAUCUAUCUUUAGAUAUCUUUUGAAGGGGAUUGGAGAUGGAAGUACACUAAUGCUACACACGUGCAUUUGGAAGGUAAACUGGUAGGCUUUCCAGAUGUCAGAGAUUGUUAGUAAUACGGUGAGACACUUUAUCUUGAAUACUCUCACUGAUGCUUGAUGAUUAGGAUGUGUAGCAAUCCGUGUAGGCUAGGUUUGGGAUAGGAAUGAACAGACUCUGAGAGCUAUUUGUAGAGUCCUCUAAGGCUACUUGACAGUCAUUUGAUGAAUGUCAGGAUCCCCUGAAGGUGGUAAGGGUUAGUUGUAGUGGAGCACACAACCUCUCUAAGUUGUGUGUCGGGAUAAAUGCCAGAAUUUAAUCCUGAUGGUAGCAAGCAUUAGCGUUAUCUCAAAUAAAGGCUAUAACCCAACUAGUUAGAGCAGAGAAUGCCUUAAGGCAGUAGAACACAUGCUGCUCCCCAGUACCUUUCUCUGCCUUUCUUUUCCCUCCCUGAGAUGUGCCCAAAAUCUAUGCAUAGGCUUAUGGUACUAAUGCAGGCUGGAAGUCCCACCAGGUCAGAGGGACACUGAGUCUCCUCAGUCUGUGUUUUUCUUUAUCAGUUUAGAGCAUGAUGUCAUCGAUAUCUAAAUCAGUAAACCUGGAUUCUUGUUACCUUGUUGCUGGACCUAAAGUUCAUGUUUUGUGUAUAGACUUUCAAACUGUACCCCAGUAUGUAGGAACUCUCCAGUUCAGAGCUACAAAUAAUGGGCAUGUGGGUGGGAGGAGGGUGCUUUCCGUAUAACACAGGGGCUUUCCAACCGUGGGAUUUCUCAAGUCACAAUACUUAAAAAGUCAUGACCCAAUCCACCCCUUAGUUGAUAGCUUUUAUUUAUUUAUUUAUUUAUUUAUUUAUUUUAUUCUUAUGUUAAUCCCCAUACAUUACAUCAUUAGUUUUAGAUGAAGUGUUCCAUGAUUCAUUGUUUGUGCAUAACACCCAGUGCUCCAUGCAGAAUGUGCCCUCCUCAAUACCCACCACCAGGCUAACCCAUCCUCCCACCCCCCCCCCCCUCCAGAACCCUGUUUUUUUUCAGAGUCCAUCGUCUCUCAUGGUUCAGUUGAUAGCUUUUAUAUGGACCAACACAUUGAUCUCCAGACCAAUAUGAUGCCAUCAUUUAUUAUCUUCACACAAUUCAUCCCUUAAAAAUAGAAAUAGUGCUGUCACAAAUAAACUUCCUUAUUAUAAUUUCUACUUUACUAAAAGGUGUGGAGAACUAGGACCACAUGAAGUCCACUCAGUUUAAUCAUUUCCUUAUGGACAUAGCUUACUGAAUACCAUGUGUCUGGGGAGUCGUCUGGGAUAUAAGUAUUUUCCCUCUUUAAUAGCACAUGCUCCUCCUCCCUCCCUGGCUAGAAUAUAAUCUUAAGGGCAUGUGGUUGGAGACCACCAUAUAUCUUAUGGCUACAGUUUCUUCCACAUUAUUGUUGCGUAGCUGGUCAUCUCUAGCUGUAUCACAGAUCUUUGAAGUAGACCUGUCAAUCUGAACUUUGGAAAUUAUAUACUCCAUUCUGUUCCUGAGCCCAGUCGGGAUUUGUGGGAGCUAUUUAAUGGCUCCCAGUGAUGGGCUAGUUAGUUAGUUCCAAGUAGCAUCUCCCCCUGUAUUCCUCAGGCAGCCAUUGGUGUACACGCAGUCCUCGUAUCCAGUAAGUGGGAGAAUUAGGAGUAGACCUGCACCUUUUGCCAAAACCGAGUCCAAUCUUUGGUACUUGAUAUGGAUAUUAUAAUAUAGGACUGUUAUGAGCAUCCUUGAUAUCUGGUGCUGGUGUCUAAUCCCUUUAGCUCAGACUCAGAGAAAACAUUUAGAUAGGGUGGGACUAUGCUUUAGGACAACAGGAGCCAGGGAGUCUCAGGGUUUGGGAAUGGAUCAUCUCUCUCAUGGGUCCAGUUAAAUGAUCAGGUACAAUCAACCCUGUUCCAGGUGAUAGAGAUUUGAUAAGUAUAAUGUUCACGAUCCCCACAUAUAUUUUCUCUCUUAACUGCAGUAGAGCCUUCUAUUUAUUAUUACUUUUAAGCUUAGUCUUUGCAUAGGCUAUCCAAGUUCUGGAUUUUGCCUGGCGUUUUACUCAGUACCAUGAUUUCCCAUCCCUCAAUUGUUCUAGAAUAAAGUAUGUAUCUCCAACUGUUGGGAUAUGUAUUAUUCUGUGUCUGAAGCCUCUACACUAAUUAGAUAACUUGGCAUAGAGCCAAAUAAGCAAUUUAAUAUUUUCCUGAGAAAAGUCUAUUACUAUAGGUGUUAUGAGUCACCUAAGAUGUCUAGGGCAAUGACCAUGAUCAUUCCUUCAAGGUAAAACUAUAGCCGAUGUUUUUUGUACUAAAAUGAGGACUGUUGGCUUAUUGGCUGUAACCUUAUUUAAAUUGGUAUUAUAGCUAGCCCUUCCAUAAUUAAUCUUCAGUGUCUUCAGUGCAGGUAGCAGAGACCUCUUUGAGUUUCUUUCAGAAAGUUUCCAUGCAGAGUUACCUCCAGCUAUAGCAAUAUGUGAUUGGCAUUGAACUUUUGGGUAAUACCUGGUCAGAGCUCCAAGCCAAAGAGUCCCCAGAAGAGAGCACUCUACUCACCUUCCUCACUGGGAACUAAUACCUGGAAUAGUACAAUACACAUCUUUGAAUUACUGAACUUCUUUGUCUUACUACAAUAAAGUUUUCUUUGAGAAGACUUUCAAAUGAGGAUGACUCCCAGAAUGUAGCCAAUACAACCACUGUUCUCAAGGGAAGAGAUGGUAGACUCAUUGGUUUGGCAGCAACUCAGUCCAGUUCUUGCCCUGCAUCUUUCCAAGUUUGUUUCUGAAGUGGUUGGAGCCAAGUAGCCACUGGUAGAAAUUGUUAUAGAAGGGAUGGUGAAGUCCUAUACAAAGAGUAGAAGAGGGUCAGCUAGAUGCUUUUCUAUAGGUGGCUAAAGUCAUCAUUCAGUCAACUAGGAUGAACUGUGAUAGGUAGCUUAAGGUUCUUUUUUGUGUGGGGAGAAAAGGAGAGGAUGGGGCAGAGAUAAUAGUGUAUCUUCCCUAUUAUUAUUAUCUAUUCAGUAUUUUCAGGCCUGUUAUCUCUGUUAGCCUAUAGACUCCUGCAAGGCUACUUGUGACUUGGUGUUCAUGAAACAUUUGUGUCUCAACCAUACCUCACUCUGUACCCCACCCUCCAUACCCACAGGUCUGUUACUUGCACAUAAAGCUUCCUGUUCCCAAGUGUUCUCAGUAGAGGAAGUGUCCUAAUUUGGGGUCAUGGGCCUCCCCUUUAGGGGCAUUUGUCUCAGAACUGUCUGAAGUUUGGAUAUAGGUUUGAAAGGCAGACAGUAUGGUUGACAAACUCUAUUAUUUCUCUUGGUGUUUCCUUACCAUGACCAUUAAUGGGUUGCCCAUCAAUUUGGGCUUUUUUCCAAUCUUAUCUUUUAAUAGCUAGACCAAUAGGUCUUUCUACUGAGAACCUCUUUUUUACAUUUCCCCCCAUUUUCUUCUGUUAUUUUGGGAGCUGAAGUUCUCAGAAGUCUUCCUCAACUAUCUUUUCCAAAAUUGUGCAUAGGAAAGACUGCUAGUUAUCUACCCCUCUAUUCAUUCUUCUUUUCUUCUUUAUUAACAGAACCCUGAUUUGCAUGGAGCAUAUUUGCAAUGCGCUUAGCUAAAAAAAAAAAAAUGACAUUGUCCAUCCUCUGCUACCAAUAAGGAUGACACAGUGUGACAGAGUUCUUGUCAAUGAGGGGUAACUAAAUGUGUUGAGAGAUGUUUCUAGUAAAGCUCCUUAAAAGGGGGUAACUUCAGAGCAUGUGCCCUUUUGCUCUUCUUUCUUCGCCUUCUUCCUGCCUGUAUCUGAGAGGAGAUGUUGUACAUAGAACAGUCAUCUUGCUGCAAUAUGACCAUGUGAGAAAAGCAAAGUGAAGAGCCUGGGUUACAUCUGAAAAGGCUGGGUUAGUAACAGGGAGGAUAGGCGCUGUGUGUGAAGUCACACUGCAUAAUUUUUGCACACUGCCACCACCCCUGCCACCUUAGGUUGUAAAAACAUCCCUUUGUCACCCAGAUCCAUACUACUCCUGUAUCUCUAACACUGGUUACAGUAGGACUGUGCAGCUACUGGUUACUCUCACCAUCUGAGACAUUUUUUUUUAUACCUAAAUCCUUUAAAAAUAGCUGUUGGUACCUCUUUGCCUCAAGUUCAAAACUUGACAUUUCUUGUGAAUGGAAGGCCUGAGAUCCUCCAGUGGAGUAUGGUAUACAAUUUGAAAACAAUUCAGUUGGCAGCAAGUUGGUUACCCUCGCCAAUUAGAUUUUAAAAAUGAAUAUCCACAGAAACUGGCUUUUACAAUAGUAGUAAUAUAAGUGUACCAUGAGAUGGUUUUACAACACAUUACCCAUUUUAAAUGUAGAGAUCCAUAUUUUAAGUUUUGUGGAGGUGAAUUACUCUCUUUUUAGAUUCCUUUUUAUUUUCAGCCAGUCAUUCUAGCUUUGUAUUAUUUGUAAUAGUAAAACAUUGGAACAGGUUUAAGACCUACAAAUAUUAAGGGUUAUUGCAACAACUUAACAAAGUUCCAAAACAGUUAUGUAUUAAUUAAUUGUGGUCACAAAAUAGAAUCUACAAGUGCCUCAGUUUACAGAAAGAUCAUUUCUGUAUGUACAUAUAUAUAAUAUCAAGCUGUUACUGUUUUUUUUCCAGAUAAAUGGGAGAGAUAAUAUAGUCUGAAUGUUCUAUUUAAUUUUUCUGUAAUGAGCUGGUGUUAACUUUUUCUGCAUAAGAAUAAUUUUUUAAAAAUGAAAAGACGUCCUCUUGAUGGCCAUUGAACAAGAGAAACAGAAGAGUGUUGCUGAGAAAUGCAGGGCAUUCAGGAGCAGCAGGGGCCAGGGGAUGCCUGCUUUUGCUGCUCAGACACCCAGCUGACAGCCCAGACUGCUCCAGGCCCAUGAACUGCCCCUGAGCUGCUUAUAGGACCUGCGGGGCCAUGAGCCCUGGCUGUGACGCCAGAGAUGCUCUCUCUUGUCUGCGUUUACUUCCUCGUGGUGCCUUGCCCCAUCCCAUGUUAACAUGUCUCUCUGAUGCUUAAAAAGUGUGCUUUCACUUAUUCAAGAAACACUAGAAUUGGGGUUAUAUGCCAAACCCCUGAGUAAUGCUGAGAACAUUCCAGUGAAGCCAAACAGACCUCCAUGGAAUUAGUGUAUAGUAGGGGGAUAGACGCAAACCAGAUCAUCCCGAUGUAUAGAAUGGGAUAACGGCUAUGAAAGAAUAGGCUGCUAGGAGGUCGAGUUACUGGACAAGUGGGGAGACCCUCGUUACCUUGUGCAUUCAGAACUCCCACCUAAGCUGAGAACUGUCGGAGGGGAAAGAGCAGGUAUGUGACAGUUACGGUGAGGGGAACAGGUAUUCUGGAACAGAGGAAACAGCAUGCGUGAGGACCUCCAGAUGCUGUGAUCCUUAUUGCCCCAGUGAAGGGAGCGAGAGGACGGUGGCCGCAGUAGAGAAAGUGGGGAGAAUGGCUAGAUGAGUUUGCAGAGGUGAGUAGAGGCCAAAUCACACAGGACUUUGUAAAUUAGGAUAUGAUAUUGUCUUUUUUCCUAAGCAGUCACACCAUUGAAUGGUUUUGAGCUGAAAAAAUACCUGAAUCAGGUUAGUUUUCACACUGGCUGCGGUCCCGGAAAUGGCUUGGAGGAAGAGACCAGCGAGGGAUUGGAAAGAACCAUGAUCAGGAAAGGGCCGGUCAUUUCUAUAGCUACUCUAUUUAAAUGAGGCGAUUGCAGAAUCUGGCCGAGUGUUUGUAACCUUGGCCGACUACUAGUUAGCAUUCUCUGCUCUUGAAAUGGCUGCCCAUCUGCUUCGUUCUUCCCUGUAUGGGUUCCCAAGUUUGCCAUAGAUAAACUUUUGGACAGUGGUCAUGUCUGAGUUAUGAGGUAAAUUCUUUGCUCUUCCCAUAGCAUUGAAGCCACAGCUAUGAAAACAACUAACAAAUAUGGGAGCUUACUAGGAGCCACACACUGUAGUAGGCACUGGCAUAUGGAGUGAGUAGAGUCCCUUCUCUCAUGGAACUUACUGGACUGGGAGCAAAUAUUAAAUCUUGCCAGUAUGAUUACAAACUGUGAGAUGAUCAUGUCAACUUGUCUAACUUGUCUAAGGAGCAGCAGGGGCCAAGGGAUGCCUGCUUUUGCUGCUCAGACACCACAGCCGACAGCCCAGACUGCUCCAGGCUCAUGAACUGCCCCUGAGCUGCAAGCCACUAACAAAAAUCCUAAGGUAGCACUCUUCACGGCUCCCCAACCCAGGGCUGCCUGGUAUAAUUGUGCAUUUGGAGUGUUGCACAGAGAUGCCUGGCCAAGGGAGCUAACAGGGUUGAAAACUCUACCAGAAUUUCCCUUGUAAACCGAAACCCUGUGCAAGGCUACAGCUGCCCAGAGGAAAGAAAGGUGCCUUGUUCUUUUGUACCGAAGUGUCCUAGAGGUCAGCAUGCUCUUCCUCUCAUAUUAGAAGGGAAUUCCUUAUUCUCAAGAUGGAAAUGGCAGGCUCUAGCUUGUAAAUGUGUAGCUGCCUUGAGAACAGAAAUGUAUCUGAGGUGAAUGUUAUAAGCAUGAGUGGGUGUCAUUGUAAGCUAAAAAAGAAUGGAGUCUAAAGAAGGCCUAGGACAUAGAUAUUUUUUAGGACCUAAUUUUAAAACCGAUCCUGCAUCAGCAGGACUUGGCUCAAUGUUACACAGAGCUAAGGCAAGUGGGGAAAGACAACCUAGUGGCAGGACCGUGGAGGAAAUAGCUGGUGGUGCAUCAGGAGGGUGGUUGUACGGGGUGAUGGACUGUGUGCGCAUCACACUGGGGGAAGUUGUGUGAGAGGAAAAGGGAUCUAUCUAUAAAAUCAUGUAUUGGGGGGCACCUGGGUGGCUCGGUUGGUUAAGCGUCUGCCUUCAGCUCAGGUCAUGAUCCCAGGGUCCUGGGAUCAGGUCCCACAUCGGGCUCCCCCUGCUCUGUGGGGAGCCUGCUUCUCCCUCUGCCUCUGCCUGCCACUCUCCCUGCUUGUGCUGUCUCUCUCUCUCUGUCAAAUAAAUAAAUAAAAUCUUUUAAAAAAAUCAUGUAUUGGUUUCUGUUUGCUGAGCCUGGCUAAUUAAACAAAGCUUCACUCCCCUAAUAUUAACAUUUUGGUCUCAGUUUUGAAAUCAUAGACUCUCAGCUUAUGGGAGUGGUUCUGCAUCUGAGAAGAAUCCUGCUGGAAUAAACCCAGAAACAAAAAGCAAAGGACGAGAAGCCAGGUAUUUUGGAGUCUUGGCUCUUCCCAAUAGUUGUAUGAUCUUGGACAGGUGGAGCAAACCUCUCUUGAGUCUUCAUUGUUUCAUCUGAAAAUAGGAGGCUGCCUUCCUCACUGGGUUACAAGCCUCAAAAGAUACUGAGAUAAAACUUUGUAAACUGAAAGGAAAUAAAAGCAUACUUUUUGUCAUGAAAUGCCAAGUUUCAAAGUUUCAGAGGCCUGACCCUGAGCUGGGUUGAGCUGCCUGGGUUCGCUGAACCUCUGCCUUGGAGUGGUCCAUUUCUGAGGGCGGGUCUGGGCUCAUCUGUCUUCUGGCUAUGUCAAGGGUUUGGACUACACUCUAGCAUUGAUGCCUGAAAAAAUUUUGUCAUAUAGACCCAAGACAAUAGGUUAUUUCCUGAUUCAGACAGGUUAUGUUCUGACCAUUGGACAUCUGUCUCCUCACGGAAUCUGGGGUCAGUUGAGAUCUCUUUUCCUUUAAUGGGGAUUGUAAAAUCGAGGUAACUCUCAGGCACCAGCACCACCCUUAACAGAUGCAUUAGAGACCCCUCUCCCCUUGGUUGCUAGUUUGUUGGGCAUCACAACCCACACAGGACUGGUUCACUGCUCCUCAGGCUCAGUCCCUCACUUGCCCUCCCUCCGACAGAUACUUUGAGUUAGUGAUGAUCAUAGAAAACAGUGGCAAAGGUAAGUAGAAGCAUCUACAUCAGCCUUUUUUUCCCUCUCUGGUGGUCAUUACUGAAAUGAUAGCAGCCAAAAUGAAGUUUGAUCCCUCUAACUUCUCACUAGAGCAAGAACCCUAAAAGGCAUUUCAGUGCACCUUCCCACAUGCAUAGGAAGAUUGCCUUCCCCUCUUUCCAAGUUGUUAAGAUGGAAGUAUAAUGUUCAAUCCAUGCCCAUCCAUAAGGAUGUUGAGUUCAGUUUGUGUGAGGACACUACGAAGGUCAGCAAAUUGGCCAGGUGGUCCAGGUGAGAGGAAACGUGCCAUCCACAAUGAACAAGUACAGCAGAAGGCUAAUAACACCACUGUGCAUGUGGUUAUUCAUGUAGCAAGGUGGUUAUCACCAGGCCAAAACUACAAAAAGAUCCUUGAAAGCAAAGCCAAAUGGAAGGAAAAUAUCUCCGUGUCUUUGUGAAGACCCACGGGGAGGUUUCUUUGUCUUCACACCAAAAAUGAUUUUGAUUCUCAUGAAUGAUAGCUUUAUUUCAUGGAGAUCUUGAUCUUGUAACAGAUCAAGUUCCCCAUUUUCAUGGGCUGCUCUGAUCCCCAGAGCACACAUAUGACAGAAAAAUAUGCAAAAGAUGUGAACAGAUCACAUACACACACAAAAGAUAUAAAAAUAGCCUAUAAACAUAGGAAAAGAUAUCCAGUCUUACUCAGAGAAAUGAAAAUUAAAAUCACAAAUACCAUUUCUCACCUUUCAGACUGGGAAAAAUUGCAUCGCAUAAUAUUCUGAUGCAAAGUUAUGAGGAGACUGCUAACCCUCAUAUGUUGUGGGUAAAAAUGCAAACCAAUGAAAGCACUGUGGAGGAAAUUUAACAGUAUUUAACAAAAUGACAUAAUUAUUUACCUUUUGAGCCAGCAAUUUCACUUUUGGGAAUGCACCCACUUGUGGGAAUCUGUAUCUCCAACAAUAUAACAAUAUGUGUCAUGAGAAUAUUCACUGUGGCAUUGUUUGUAAUUGCAAUACUGAGAACAACCUAUCAGCCCAGGAAAUUUAAAAUGACUGUGAUUAAUAUGCUAAGGGCUCUAAGGGGUAAAAUAGCAUGCAAGAAGAGAUGGGCAGGGCGCCUGGGUGGCUCAGAUGGUUAAGCAUCUGCCUUCGGCUCAGGUCAUGAUCCUGGGGUCCUGGGAUCGAGUCCCGCAUCGGGCUCCCUGCUGGCGGGGAGCCUGCUUCUCUCUCUGCCUCUGCCUCUCUCUCUCUGACUCUCAUGAAUAAAUAAAUAAAAAAAAAAAAUUUAAAAAAAAAAAAGAAGAGAUGGGCAAUGUAAGCAGAGAGAUGGAAAUCCUAAGAAAGAACCAAAAAGAAAUAC
Mirounga angustirostris (Northern elephant seal) is the source of this 14490-nucleotide long non-coding RNA. RefSeq lists it as uncharacterized. NCBI's taxonomy places the organism in Eukaryota, Metazoa, Chordata, Mammalia, Carnivora, Phocidae. The transcript is spliced from 4 exons. The record is from RefSeq and is a predicted model, not a curated record.